Molecule: ribosomal RNA, 127 nt
Filed under: Hypocreales sp. CBS 102184
Lineage: Eukaryota; Fungi; Ascomycota; Sordariomycetes; Hypocreales
Description: Verticillium sp. CBS 102184 5.8S ribosomal RNA
Rfam family: 5.8S ribosomal RNA
About the family: 5.8S ribosomal RNA (5.8S rRNA) is a component of the large subunit of the eukaryotic ribosome. It is transcribed by RNA polymerase I as part of the 45S precursor that also contains 18S and 28S rRNA.
Source: RNAcentral
AAACUUUCAACAACGGAUCUCUUGGUUCUGGCAUCGAUGAAGAACGCAGCGAAAUGCGAUAAGUAAUGUGAAUUGCAGAAUUCAGUGAAUCAUCGAAUCUUUGAACGCACAUUGCGCCCGCCAGCAU